Molecule: ribosomal RNA, 388 nt
Filed under: uncultured bacterium
Lineage: Bacteria
Description: bacterial SSU rRNA
Rfam family: Bacterial small subunit ribosomal RNA
Source: RNAcentral
AUUGAACGCUGGCGGCAUGCCUUACACAUGCAAGUCGAACGGCAGCACGGGAGCUUGCUCCUGGUGGCGAGUGGCGAACGGGUGAGUAAUAUAUCGGAACGUACCCUAGAGUGGGGGAUAACGCAGCGAAAGCUACGCUAAUACCGCAUACGAUCUAUGGAUGAAAGCGGGGGAUCGCAAGACCUCGCGCGAUUGGAGCGGCCGAUAUCAGAUUAGGUAGUUGGUGAGGUAAAGGCUCACCAAGCCGACGAUCUGUAGCUGGUCUGAGAGGACGACCAGCCACACUGGAACUGAGACACGGUCCAGACUCCUACGGGAGGCAGCAGUGGGGAAUUUUGGACAAUGGACGCAAGUCUGAUCCAGCCAUUCCGCGUGCAGGAUGAAGGCC